This 961-nucleotide long non-coding RNA is filed under the name Chrysolophus pictus (golden pheasant). Its description in RNAcentral is "lncRNA (ENSCPIG00010008209.1)". The record is from RNAcentral. Lineage: Eukaryota; Metazoa; Chordata; Aves; Galliformes; Phasianidae.
CAAAUGAACUGUAUAUUCAUUCCCUGCCCUUCAGGUACUUGGUACAACUACGUGAAGGAGAACUGACUUUAUAUUGCAUAGGUCUGGGAGCAGAGAGCAAGAAUGCAAGCCCUGCGAUGACCACAAUUCAUUUGUCAGGCGGUAACGUGAGUGUCAGCAAGGAGAACGAAUGUGGUACCUUUUCUGUCCAGACCAAAGGACACAAUUAUUUGUUUCGAAUACCCUUAACUGUCCAAAAUUACAGGACAGAGGAUGUUAGCAAGCUCCAGAAUGAAUGGGUGUCUCUCAUAGAAAGGUACUGUCAGCUGUGCAAGGGAGGCUUUUUGUCCCAGGAGGAAUCCGAAGGAGACACCUCGUCUGAAGCUGAUUAUGAGAAUGUUACUGUAGCUCUGAAUGAACAGAAAGAGGAGGCCCUCCAUUUCGAUGUGAGCGCUGCAAAAACCAGUCUGAACAAGCCUUCAAGCUCACAGACAAAGGCUGUGAAGGGAGAUGUAGCAGCACCAGCAUCUACUCCAGUUCCCAUAAGCAAGACAGAGGUGCCACCAGCCCCACCUGCAUUCUUUCAGUCCUGCAGCCUUUCUCCCUUGGCAAAGAGAACCAAAGCUUUUCACUGGGAUGUUGUUCCUUGUGAUAAGAUUCAAAAAUCCAUCUGGGGUUCUUGUGACCCAGGCAAGAAAAAGAUAGAUGCAUCCAGACUCUGCGAGCAGUUCCAGAUCCAGGACGUGGCAGUGUUUUCAGGCAAUGAACCUUCAGUGAAUCAGCACAUCAUGUUGGAUCGGAAAGUUGCACAUAACUUCAGCAUUUUUCUUAAAAGUUUCCGUGUAAAACCAAGUGAGCUGAAAGAAAAGCUGUACAUUAUACAUGAAGAGAGUGGUGGACUUACAGAUGAACAGAUUACGACGCUACGAAGGUACAUGCUAACACCAAAGGAUGCAGAGAAGUACCAGUCGUUCAGGGGGUG